Molecule: unclassified non-coding RNA, 509 nt
Filed under: uncultured Glomus
Lineage: Eukaryota; Fungi; Glomeromycota; Glomeromycetes; Glomerales; Glomeraceae
Description: SSU rRNA
Rfam family: Eukaryotic small subunit ribosomal RNA
Source: RNAcentral
AGCAGCCGCGGUAAUUCCAGCUCCAAUAGCGUAUAUUAAAGUUGUUGCAGUUAAAAAGCUCGUAGUUGAAUUUCGAGAUCAAAUUGUUGGUCGUGCCUUGGUACGCACUGGCAUUAUUGGUUUCUCCCUUCUGACGAACCAUGAUGUCAUUAAUUUGGUGUCUUGGGGAAUCAGGACUGUUACUUUGAAAAAUUAGAGUGUUUAAAGCAGGCUCACGCUUGAAUACAUUAGCAUGGAAUAAUGAAAUAGGACGUUUGAUUCUAUUUUGUUGGUUUCUAGGAUCGACGUAAUGAUUAAUAGGGAUAGUUGGGGGCAUUAGUAUUCAAUUGUCAGAGGUGAAAUUCUUGGAUUUAUUGAAGACUAACUACUGCGAAAGCAUUUGCCAAGGAUGUUUUCAUUAAUCAAGAACGAAAGUUAGGGGAUCGAAGACGAUCAGAUACCGUCGUAGUCUUAACCAUAAACUAUGCCGACUAGGGAUCGGAUGAUGUUAAUUUUUAAUGACUCAUUCC